RNAcentral lists this ribosomal RNA (157 nucleotides) under Hypoxylon fragiforme. RNAcentral describes it as "5.8S ribosomal RNA". It matches the Rfam family "5.8S ribosomal RNA". From Rfam's summary of the family: 5.8S ribosomal RNA (5.8S rRNA) is a component of the large subunit of the eukaryotic ribosome. It is transcribed by RNA polymerase I as part of the 45S precursor that also contains 18S and 28S rRNA. The record is from RNAcentral. Lineage: Eukaryota; Fungi; Ascomycota; Sordariomycetes; Xylariales; Hypoxylaceae.
AACUUUCAACAACGGAUCUCUUGGUUCUGGCAUCAAAAAAAAACGCAGCGAAAUGCGAUAAGUAAUGUGAAUUGCACAAUUCAGUGAAUCAUCGAAUCUUUGAACGCACAUUGCGCCCAUUAGUACUCUAGUGGGCAUGCCUAUUCGAGCGUCAUUU